AGUUUGAUCUUGGUUCAGAUUGAACGCUGGCGGCAUGCUUUACACAUGCAAGUCGAACGGCAGCACAGAGAAGCUUGCUUCUUGGGUGGCGAGUGGCGAACGGGUGAGUAAUAUAUCGGAACGUACCGAGUAAUGGGGGAUAACUAAUCGAAAGAUUAGCUAAUACCGCAUAUUCUCUGAGGAGGAAAGCAGGGGACCUUCGGGCCUUGCGUUAUUCGAGCGGCCGAUAUCUGAUUAGCUAGUUGGUGGGGUAAAGGCCUACCAAGGCGACGAUCAGUAGCGGGUCUGAGAGGAUGAUCCGCCACACUGGGACUGAGACACGGCCCAGACUCCUACGGGAGGCAGCAGUGGGGAAUUUUGGACAAUGGGCGCAAGCCUGAUCCAGCCAUGCCGCGUGUCUGAAGAAGGCCUUCGGGUUGUAAAGGACUUUUGUCAGGGAAGAAAAGGACAGGGUUAAUACCCCUGUCUGAUGACGGUA
This 478-nucleotide ribosomal RNA is filed under the name Neisseria meningitidis. Its description in RNAcentral is "bacterial SSU rRNA". It matches the Rfam family "Bacterial small subunit ribosomal RNA", at positions 10 to 477 of the family's 1533-position model. Lineage: Bacteria; Pseudomonadati; Pseudomonadota; Betaproteobacteria; Neisseriales; Neisseriaceae. The record is from RNAcentral.